This 502-nucleotide ribosomal RNA is filed under the name uncultured bacterium. RNAcentral's name for it is "partial 16S ribosomal RNA". It matches the Rfam family "Bacterial small subunit ribosomal RNA", at positions 899 to 1397 of the family's 1533-position model. The record is from RNAcentral.
ACUCAAAUGAAUUGACGGGGACCCGCACAAGCGGUGGAGCAUGUUGUUCAAUUCGAAGCAACGCGAAGAACCUUACCUACCCUUGACAUACCAAGUAUGAUUUCCAGAGAUGGAUUUCUUCAGUUCGGCUGGCUUGGAUACAGGUGCUGCAUGGCUGUCGUCAGCUCGUGUCGUGAGAUGUUGGGUUAAGUCCCGCAACGAGCGCAACCCUCAUCGUCUGUUGCCAUCAGGUUAAGCUGGGCACUCUGACGAGACUGCCGGUGACAAGCCGGAGGAAGGCGGGGAUGACGUCAAGUCAUCAUGGCCCUUACGGGUAGGGCCACAAACGUGCUACAAUGGCGGUGACAGUGGGCUGCGAGGCUGCAAAGCCAAGCCAAUCCCAAAAAGCCGUCUCAGUUCAGAUUGUCCUCUGCAACUCGAGGGCAUGAAGCUGGAAUCGCUAGUAAUCGUGGAUCAGCACGCCACGGUGAAUACGUUCCCGGGUCUUGUACACACCGCCCGU